RNAcentral lists this ribosomal RNA (236 nucleotides) under Candidatus Methanomethylophilaceae archaeon. RNAcentral's name for it is "partial 16S ribosomal RNA". It matches the Rfam family "Archaeal small subunit ribosomal RNA", at positions 1242 to 1478 of the family's 1478-position model. The record is from RNAcentral. Lineage: Archaea; Methanobacteriati; Thermoplasmatota; Thermoplasmata; Methanomassiliicoccales; Methanomethylophilaceae.
CCGUAGUUCGGAUUGAGGGUUGUAACUCACCCUCAUGAAGCUGGAUUCCGUAGUAAUCGCGAAUCAACAACUCGCGGUGAAUAUGCCCCUGCUCCUUGCACACACCGCCCGUCAAACCACCUGAGUUGGGUUUCAGUGAGGCUGCCUCUUUCUGGGGUUGUCGAACUGAGAUUUAGCAAGGAGGGUUAAGUCGUAACAAGGUAUCUGUAGGGGAACCUGCAGAUGGAUCACCUCCU